Cyprinus carpio carpio is the source of this 2973-nucleotide long non-coding RNA. Lineage: Eukaryota; Metazoa; Chordata; Actinopteri; Cypriniformes; Cyprinidae. The record is from Ensembl.
UUUUUAAAUGUCCAUUUUGCACUUGAAUACGACACCACAUACAUCCUGCACGGAACGUACACUAGAGGCGCCAGAGCUUUUCAGGAGCCUUUACAGAAGGCGGGGUGUGAUGAUGCCGAUGCCACUGCCAUUGCCUGCGCUCCCACUUUGUGGCCAGUCUUCAUUCAUAUUCAGUAGCACCAGCACUCGGAGGACAGCAGCCAUGAUUCACAUCGAUCUUACAACGAUGGCAUGCGUGAUUUCUAUAUGCCUAUGUGUGGGAAGUCCUUUGCCUUUUCAAAAGUUGUACGAGUGUCCCACAACGCAGGAAAUGCUCUGUGAGAACAUGGUCACCUCUAAGGGAUUUACCUACAAGGUGCCUCAGGACAAGCUUCCAGACUUGAGAGAUCGCGAUUGUGAACAUGGGUGGUUUUAUCUGAAUGAAACAUUUAUUGUUGACUCAACGCAGCCUGGGGAGAAUUUAGGAUUUGUAGUGGCUGUGACUUCUGAGAACCUGACAGUCAGCACCUGCAUAAACCUUCAAUGGCAACUUCACUGUGAAAACAUUAAGCUUCACUGUACUGUUAAUUAUAGAGUGAAACAUAAAGCGCCACAUGAAACCCUGCCAGGAAAUUACACAUCUUCAGGAGACAAAGGAGAUGCAAGUUCUCCUGGCUGGCUUAUUGCUGUAAUCGUGGGGAGCGUGAUUGUGUCUGUUCUCAUCAUAUCUGCUACCAUUUGGUUUUGUUUGAAGAAGGCAAGAAAGUCAGCGUACACUCCUCCAGGUGAAGAUGAAUCUGAGGAAGAAUUCUGAAUUGUCAAAGUCUAAGCAAUAGGUCAGCCAGAUUAGUCUUAGCUCUGUGAAAAGUGUAUCUUAACACUGUAAAGCCCACUGUUGCAGAAUUACAACAUCACUUUUAACAAUUUAAAAAAAAGGCCUACAAAUGGUUUUUUUUCUUCUCAAGACCACAUUUACAUAGUUAAUGGGUUCUAUUGUUUGUCCUCACAAUGCUUUUGGAUAGAAGUGUUUAUAGGUCCGGUCAUCUGGCCAUGAACUCACGUAUACCUGCAAACUUUGCGUGGAGCUCAUCUCCUUUUUUUGCAUGACUGGAUUUGUCAAGAUUCAAGUAAGAAAAAUUCCUUACAUAUUUUUUUUUUGUGUGUGUGUGUGCGUUUAUUACAAUGUCUAGAACACAUACAUAUUUAGUUAUUUUGGAAAACAUUAAUCAAAUUUAAUUUAGAGCUUGUUAAGUCUAUGUUGUAAUUCUACAACGUUGGGCCAGAGUGGUAGUUAAAAUAGCCUGUGCUCCUUACACAUUACAUAAGGACACUGCCCUUCUCACAUGGUCACAAAUUGAAAUUUAAACUGUUAGAUGAUUCAUUGUAACUAAGUUCUAAAUGUGCUUUUCUGUUAAAUUAGUACUUAGUUUAGCUUAGACCAUAAUUAAAUGCAGGAAUUAAUUGUAUGUGGUAUUUGAAACUUCAUCAUCUAGAGCAGUAUCUGAAACUCCCUGUAUCUGUGUAGUUUUUAUUUAUUUUUUUUUUAACUUCUAAAUGAUCCUGAAAUUUUUUAUGAGUGUUGCCCAAGUAGCAUUUUAUAGCAUUAAAAGAUAUAUAUAUAUAUAUAUAUAAAAAAACAGAAUGUUCUGAAUGUUCUGGAUUUACAACAAUAUUACAACAUUUCCCUAAAAACUUACUAAAAUAUAAAAAAAAAAUUGAAAAAUCUUUAAUUUAUACAUCAGAGACCUCCUAAAACAUUUUUUUUCUAUAUUUGGGUAGGGUUAAGCGUCCAAAAGUGUCUGAAUACAUUUUAAGGCAAAUUGAAUAUAUUCACAACAAUUACUUGUGUGUGCACCCUAGACCACAACAGUCUUAGGGCCAGUUCAGGCUACGAUUUUAUCCCAAAUUUGACACGAUCUGCUUUAUGUAGAGUGUUGUGGGGAUUUGUAAAUGACAAUGGGCAUCUGGACGCAGGAUUCAAAAAUUUUAUCUUGUGUAGAGUGUGGACAACAACCGAUGCCACGUCUGCGAUGCUUCACAACAUCAACACAGAAAGACUUAUGUUUAAAUAUCUGUGACACAAAGCAAUAGGAGCACAGAAGCGCCUUCUUACAUGCUUUCAAACAAGCCAAAACAAAUGAGAGACAACCAGGGGCGUCAUGCACUCAUUAUUCUUGAGGGAGCAUGAGCUAUUUAUUUAUUUAUUUUUUCAAACUGAAUUAUCAUGAAAUAUCUUAAUUCUCACCUUUAUAGAUUAUGAUCUAUAGUGGCGGAUGGUCAAAGUAACUUAUAAAAACCUGUCUGUUUACUUAAUUAACAGAUAUGGGUGUCAUGCCAUAACAUACUUUUAAUACGACUGAGUUUAUAUUUAAUGUAAAUUUAACAUUGCAAGUUAAUGUGAAUAAAAACAUUGCAAGUAACAUUAUCAAAGAACUUUUUCACUGACAGUCUAGUUCGAGCACUCUCAAAAACUCCCAUUAAUAUCAAUGAAGCUUUUUUCUUCUCUCAUUGGAAUAUGUAAAUUAAUUAUAUAUCCGUUGUUGUCGUUCUUUCGUUUUAUUCUGUGUGUGAUUGUAUUCAAACUGUAUUUUAUAUAGAAAAUAUUAAUCUGCAAUUGUUUUGACUUUUGGAAGCUACAUUCAAAAUCCACUUGGCUCAAAAAUCUGAGGGGGCACGUUUGUAUAAAAAAUCGAGUAGUUUUAAAUCAUUUGUUUCAUAUAAUUUUAUGAUUUGUCUGAUAGUUGUGAUAUUGCAAAUAAAUACAAAAUGUAUAUGCAUGAAUGUCAGAGCUGUUUUCAGAUGAAAGUAAAUAACUGGUAACUGGAUUGAAUAAUUAUCACCAUUGUUUGUUCAGUAACAGAUAAGUGCAUGGCAUAUUUUAGGUCAGCAGCCACCUGUUCUGAUAAUGCCAAUGUGAUGAUUCAUCGCGGUUUCCUCCCUUGGCAGUCACAGUUGUAUCUCAGUCACACCUCUUGCAGAAACAUCCAGUUUCCC